GACGAACGCUGGCGGCGUGCUUAACACAUGCAAGUCGAACGGAAAGGCCCUGCUUUUGUGGGGGGCUCGAGUGGCGAACGGGUGAGUAACACGUGAGUAACCUGCCCUUGACUUUGGGAUAACUUCAGGAAACUGGGGCUAAUACCGGAUAGGAGCUCCUGCUGCAUGGUGGGGGUUGGAAAGUUUCGGCGGUUGGGGAUGGACUCGCGGCUUAUCAGCUUGUUGGUGGGGUAGUGGCUUGCCAAGGCUUUGACGGGUAGCCGGCCUGAGAGGGUGACCGGCCACAUUGGGACUGAGAUACGGCCCAGACUCCUACGGGAGGCAGCAGUGGGGAAUAUUGCACAAUGGGCGGAAGCCUGAUGCAGCAACGCCGCGUGCGGGAUGACGGCCUUCGGGUUGUAAACCGCUUUCGCCUGUGACGAAGCGUGAGUGACGGUAAUGGGUAAAGAAGCACCGGCUAACUACGUG
This 468-nucleotide ribosomal RNA is filed under the name uncultured bacterium. Its description in RNAcentral is "partial 16S ribosomal RNA". It matches the Rfam family "Bacterial small subunit ribosomal RNA", at positions 28 to 507 of the family's 1533-position model. The record is from RNAcentral.